This 301-nucleotide ribosomal RNA is filed under the name uncultured bacterium. RNAcentral describes it as "partial 16S ribosomal RNA". It matches the Rfam family "Bacterial small subunit ribosomal RNA", at positions 509 to 808 of the family's 1533-position model. The record is from RNAcentral.
CAGUAGCCGCGGGAAUACGGAGGGUGCAAGCGUUAAUCGGAAUUACUGGGCGUAAAGCGCACGCAGGCGGUCUGACAAGUCAGAUGUGAAAUCCCCGGGCUUAACCUGGGAACUGCAUUUGAAACUGUCAGGCUGGAGUCUUGUAGAGGGGGGUGGAAUUCCAGGUGUAGCGGUGAAAUGCGUAGAGAUCUGGAGGAAUACCGGUGGCGAAGGCGGCCCCCUGGACAAAGACUGACGCUCAGGUGCGAAAGCGUGGGGAGCAAACAGGAUUAGAUACCCAGUAGUCCCUGUCUCUUAUACA